Molecule: long non-coding RNA, 779 nt
Organism: Homo sapiens (human)
Lineage: Eukaryota; Metazoa; Chordata; Mammalia; Primates; Hominidae
Product: long intergenic non-protein coding RNA 1052
Source: Ensembl
UCCAUGCCUAGCAUCAUAGGGAAAAACAGCUGGAGCAAUUGAAGUUAGGGUUAAGGAUCUCAAGGGCUUGGACUUCUCAGAGAUGAAGAUCUGGAUCACUCCAUCAGGCAAGCAACGAAGACCAGAUGAAAUGCUGCUUGAAGGGCUGGCAUAUCUAGAAUUGGUGGUAGAAAUAUCUUUGCUUGAAAGUUUGCUCAAGAAACACCAUGCAUAUUUGACAUCAUAAGGAAAGAAAUGAGCAGAACCAUACAUCCAACUUACAUUGCAAUUACUGCAGAGGAAGAGAGAUGGAGAAGUUAAAAUGAAACAUUUCAAGGAUGAAUGGGCACUGAAAAUUGGUAAAGUGGCAGAAAAGUCCAAGCUUGAAGAAUGAAAAAGUAAAUGUAUGGAGAAAAAGGAGUUUGGAAAACAGGAAAAAAAAAGAUAUUUUGCAGAAACAUCUGUUUGCUGUUGCUAAAAAUUUUAGCAUUUAAAUGUUCUCAUUUGGGCUCUGAAGUUAGCACUUCCUUGAAGUAGUUCACACCUUUGCUAUUGCUCCUGUUCAGCUACAGAUCAUUUUAUGCAAGGCUGAUUUUAACAAGAAAAUGGUGCAUUAAUUUACAAUGUGUUGAGUGUUUUAAAAGUGGCAAAAUCUAGGCUUUUGUAAAAUUUUAGAAUCUGGAAAAAAUAGAAAUACUUAUAUAAAGCUCUUCAAAAUACCAGAAUGGCUUUAUGCACAAAAAAUUACAUGCUGAUUAAGAAAAUUAGAAAAUUCGGUAAUAAAAAAAGAAGUACAUCUA